UGGGGAAUAUUGCACAAUGGGCGAAAGCCUGAUGCAGCGACGCCGCGUGAGGGAUGACGGCCUUCGGGUUGUAAACCUCUUUCAGCAGGGAAGAAGCGAAAGUGACGGUACCUGCAGAAGAAGCGCCGGCUAACUACGUGCCAGCAGCCGCGGUAAUACGUAGGGCGCAAGCGUUGUCCGGAAUUAUUGGGCGUAAAGAGCUCGUAGGCGGCUUGUCACGUCGGAUGUGAAAGCCCGAGGCUUAACCUCGGGUCUGCAUUCGAUACGGGCUAGCUAGAGUGUGGUAGGGGAGAUCGGAAUUCCUGGUGUAGCGGUGAAAUGCGCAGAUAUCAGGAGGAACACCGGUGGCGAAGGCGGAUCUCUGGGCCAUUACUGACGCUGAGGAGCGAAAGCGUGGGGAGCGAACAGG
Molecule: ribosomal RNA, 409 nt
Filed under: bacterium
Lineage: Bacteria
Also listed under: 2 other names
Description: partial 16S ribosomal RNA
Rfam family: Bacterial small subunit ribosomal RNA
Source: RNAcentral